GCAGCUCUCCAGGCCCCGCCCACCGCCGUUCGAAACCGUGUAUCCCAGGUUUGGGCUUGGUUCCUCUCCUGAGGUUAGGGUGCCGGUACCGUCCCGACCCUCCACGAAGGCCCAGUCUUAUUAGCGGAGCUGUGGAGUCUGACCGCGAGACGAGAAGCCUAAAGAGCGGGGCCGAGUUGUGGGGUUCCUCACCUACCGACCCUGACGGCUAAUUCACCCUUCAUUCAUCAGACAGAACAGAGCGCCUACCAUACGCCAAGCGCUGUGCUAGCGCUAAGGAUAUAGAAGUUGUCCUUUCCUCGUGGAAAGCACAGAAUAAUAGGAAAAUGCCUCUGAGGAAGGAACCGUCACCUUGCAAACUAUUGAAGUGUGACCCAGUAAUCAUGAGGACUAUAUACACUGCCCAGAACCCAGUUCUAGGGGAGUCCAGAGCAGUUUACUAUGAACAGCUGUUACUGCCACUUGCCUUGUACUCUGUUUUCUGAAACAAGUCACAGGAUCACACACCACCAGGAGGAAGCAGGUUGGGCUUUCUUAAAAAACAAAACAAACAAAACAAUGAAAAACUUUUUAAUGUUUUGCUCUAAAAUAAUCAAUGAUUCUCUGAGACGAGAAGAGAGUUUUUCUCCCGUAAUUCCCUCUUUUAAACCUACCAAUGAAAAACAAAGAAGACAAUCUGAAAACAAUUAAAAGGAUUUAAAAAUUA
Non-coding RNA from Microcebus murinus (gray mouse lemur), 706 nucleotides. Lineage: Eukaryota; Metazoa; Chordata; Mammalia; Primates; Cheirogaleidae. The record is from RefSeq and is a predicted model, not a curated record.